UACAGAGGUCCCGAGCGUUGUUCGGAUUCAUUGGGCGUAAAGGGUGCGUAGGCGGCGGGGCCAGUCUGAUGUGAAAUCCUGGGGCUCAACCCCAGAACUGCAUUGGAUACUGCCUUGCUCGAGUACUGGAAAGGGAACUGGAAUUUACGGUGUAGCAGUGAAAUGCGUAGAGAUCGUAAGGAAGGCCAGUGGCGAAGGCGAGUUCCUGGACAGUGACUGACGCUGAGGCGCGAAAGCUGGGGUAGCAAACAGG
Molecule: ribosomal RNA, 253 nt
Filed under: uncultured bacterium
Lineage: Bacteria
Description: partial 16S ribosomal RNA
Rfam family: Bacterial small subunit ribosomal RNA
Source: RNAcentral